CAAGGGGAAACAUUUCCUCUCGGAAACUUUAGAAAAAGAACACGCCAGAGCUUCUCCGCCGCCUUAAUCGAUUGAACCACCGCAGCUCUCCGGCGGGGAAUAUGACGGAGAUCAUCAAACCUCCGAUCAACACUCAAAACGGAGAAAACCCAAACCAUUCUCACUUCCCAUCAACUUCAAUGCGAGAUUCAAGCUUUGAAAUCCCUAUUCUACCACCAGAGCUCAUCACUGAGAUACUCUUAAAGCUACCAGUCAAAUCCCUUUUACAAUUCAGGCGUGUUUCAAAAUCUUGGCUUUCCUUAGUAUUUAGCCCUGAAUUUGUCAAAACCCAUCUUAGUAUAUGUACUAAUAACAAGGACAACACCCACCAUAGACUUAUGCUGACUCCUCUUUGUGAGAAAAAUCUUGAGGUAUGUUCUCUUGGUUCUUUACUUUAUGAGUCUGUUACCGAGGCAUUUGACUUCGAUUAUCCAAUAAAAAACCCUCUUGAAUCUGCUUGGAUUGUGGGUUCUGUCAAUGGCUUAAUUUGUCUUAAAAAUGCGGAAGAACAUUUAUUGCUGUGGAAUCCAUCUAUUAGAAAGCUCAAGAAAGUUACUGCUUUUGUAGCUGCCCCACGCCUGGUCACUACACAUAUGGUUUUGGAUAUGAUGAGCUUAUGAUGAUUAUAAGAUAGUGAUUGUUUUUUUAUAGUACCGAUGGUCGCUCUGAUGUUAAGGUCAACAUAUAUAGUUUAAAUAGUGAUUCUUGGAGAGGAGUUGAUGAUUUCCGCGAUGGGGUGUUAUUGGAUUCAGCUAAGUCCAUGAAUGGGAAGCUUCAUUGGAUUAAUACUGCUAGUCGUCCUAGGUGUAAUGAUUGGACCAUCAUUUCUAUUGAUUUGGCUGAUGAGAAAUGGGAAAGCUGGAGCAGCCUUGCUGUGGAGAAGGAUAUUUUCUUUUGUUGCUGUGAGUGUUGGGAAGUGAUCUUUCCAUGUUUUAUGAUUAUUACCACAGAAACUGCAUAGAUGUGUGGGUUAUGAAAGAAUAUGGUGUCAAAGAGUCUUGGACAAGAAUGUAUACCAUCGAAGAACUUCUUCCUGAUGUGACGAACUUUGUGCCUUCUCCACCCCUUUGCAUGUCAAAUAAAGGUGAAAUUGUUUGUGUUUGGAUCAACUUUUAUGAUAUACUAUCCAAAGGAUGGCUUGAUCAGAUAUCCAAAGGUUGCUAAUUUUCAUUGCUGUCUUGAGGGGACCGUCUACAUUGAAAGUUUAGUUUGUCCAAUUUUAUGAUGAAGGCUGCAAGCACUCACGUGAAUGACAAUUAUGUUGCUAAUGACUUGAGCGGAAGCUGUUAUAGGGAGCAAUUUAUCCAUCUGCUGACUGCAUGAAUUUUGACGAUGAAGCAUUACAUCGCCUCAUUGGUGUUCAUAUCGAUAUGUUAAUUUUCUUUAUAUGUGUAUAAAACAAGGCGUACCUAUGUUUGGUACAACCUAUUUGUUAUUUUGCAACCUAUCAACCUUAUGCUUCCGUUUAUCGUAUUUGUCAAAGGUAGUGUUUGGCUGAUGUUGGUAUUUACUAUAUAGUAUUGAUCUUGCCUGUGCUGGUUAGAUUUU
Molecule: non-coding RNA, 1587 nt
Organism: Nicotiana tabacum (common tobacco)
Lineage: Eukaryota; Viridiplantae; Streptophyta; Magnoliopsida; Solanales; Solanaceae
Source: RefSeq, a predicted model, not a curated record